UUACGGCCAUAGCACAUUGAAACACCGGUUCCUGUACGACCACCGAAGUUAAGCAAUGUCGAGCCUGGUUAGUACCUAAGUUGGUGACCGCCUGGAAAUACUAGAUGCUAU
Non-coding RNA from Acanthosepion pharaonis, 111 nucleotides. The record is from the annotation of a GenBank genome assembly. Lineage: Eukaryota; Metazoa; Mollusca; Cephalopoda; Sepiida; Sepiidae.